Molecule: non-coding RNA, 1511 nt
Organism: Callorhinus ursinus (northern fur seal)
Lineage: Eukaryota; Metazoa; Chordata; Mammalia; Carnivora; Otariidae
Source: RefSeq, a predicted model, not a curated record
CAGUCUACAUCUUUUUACAAAUGAGGUUAAAUGUUUAUUCAUCUAACAAAAUUUCCUCUACGUAACACUGAGCUGGAGUAAGUAUCUGCACAGAAAGUAAUAAAUGGUGGUUAGAUUCCCAAGCCCCUGAUAAAGACUUAAUUCAUAUAACACCAUGCUAUAUUAAUAUGGCAAUACCUUUUUCUUUUGAAAGGCAUAACGUUUUUUGUAAACAGAUUAAAAGAAGUACCAGCCAACACUUCCUGGACUCCUCACAGACAAGGAAGUUCUGCUCUUCGAAAGAGGUUGAGAAGAUUUGAAACCGUUACUUCCGAACUAAAGUGUUGUUUGAAAAUCUAAAGGGGAAGAAACGUACAUGAUUAAUGGCCAGAAGUCUCACAGGAGCAAGUGGAUGAUUCAGACUGAGCAUCAAGGAGGUAUCAGAAUCUGCUAAAAACUACAGGAUUCAUCACAAUCACCAAACGAUUUCACCAUUAAAUCUGAGCAGCAUCUGAUCAAAAUUAAGAACUAGAGAAAACCAUCCCAAAAUACCCAACAUAUUUGAUAACAAUCAUCUAAUUUCAGACACCAAGAAGUAAAGUAAAAUCUUUGUCUCUAGAACAUGGUAUGAGUUACAACAGAUGAACAAAAUGUGUAUUAUUAAUGUUGUGAUUUUGAGUACCCUCAUGGCUAUGGGUAGGUUUAUUUAGCGAAGCAAUUCUAUGAAGUAACUUUGCAUUCUUUAUGUAGAUCUGACUCCAGACUGAGAAGUACCUAAAAUAAAUCAUUUUAUUAGCACCUAAAUGAAAAUAUAAAUUAAAAAAAUUGGUCACUAAAGACAAAAAGCAAUUCGUCUAAAUGCUACAACGACGGUCAAAUUUAUGACAAGUUACUUCACUUAGUAAUCAGACUAAGAAGGAAAUCUGUCUACCAUUCUCAGAUUUGGAAAUGAAACGCCAUUAAAGAUGAAAGUCUAAUUAUGGAAGAGCAAAACCAAAACAAUCACAUUUCUUUUCAUAAUAUUUAUCUUCAAGGUUAUUUGUAAGAACUGCUUAAGUGUCUCACUUCUAGUAGAAAGAUUUAGGGUGAAUCACCAGGAAAUUUCUAAGUUCUAACAUGCUCAUGAAAUUAAAAUCCCCCUACUCUUUCUAAUCAGUGACUUAAAUAGCCACAUGUAGCUAGUGGGUACUGCACUGGAAAGUGCAGAUAUGGGAGAAAAAUAAGGACACGCUGGAAACUAAGUGAAGCCACCUUUUAGUGAUUGCUAAUGACCAUUUGUUAACAUUUCCAAAUAAUACUCUUCCUGAAAUACAUAUCCCAUUCAGUUAAAUUACUGUGCCCUUUUCCAAUGAUUCAACCCCUGCCUCACAGCCUUACUUCAGGGAACUAGGUAAACUGUAUCAAAUCUCAUCUGUCCAUUAAACUUUCCACAGAAAGGUGUGACAUAGCAAAUUUCCUUCCAGACCUCUUCAAAGAGCCACACAAAUAUACCCGUAAUUGUAGUAAUUUCUCUGAAGGAAAACUUACUUGAU